RNAcentral lists this ribosomal RNA (253 nucleotides) under uncultured bacterium. RNAcentral describes it as "partial 16S ribosomal RNA". It matches the Rfam family "Bacterial small subunit ribosomal RNA", at positions 524 to 776 of the family's 1533-position model. The record is from RNAcentral.
UACAGAGGGUGCGAGCGUUAAUCGGAAUUACUGGGCGUAAAGCGCACGCAGGCGGUUUGUUAAGUCAGAUGUGAGAUCCCCGGGCUCAACCUGGGAACUGCAUUUGAAACUGGCAAGCUUGAGUCUCGUAGAGGGGGGUAGAAUUCCAGGUGUAGCGGUGAAAUGCGUAGAGAUCUGGAGGAAUACCGGUGGCGAAGGCGGCCCCCUGGACGAAGACUGACGCUCAGGUGCGAAAGCAUGGGGAGCGAACAGG